UAUCAGAAAGACAACCGCCGAACUUAUCAGUUGGAGACGAAACGCGGCUCGAAGAGGUCAUGGCUUCGGUAGAAGUCAGAUCAAACCGCCGUGGUCUCCAGGGCUCCAUCGACUGCCUUGCUGAUGGCAGGACUUAACCGGUCAGUGUGAUGUGAGUGAGUGCGCCUGAUGAAAGCGCAGACAUAGGGGUGUAAUCAGUGCAGACUUGUUGGAAUAUAUCAAUCAGCCAAGACUAAUGAUACAUACAGGACACGAGUGACAACGUCGAGGUGUUCCGCCACAACUUGCACAGGGACUCCUACCACGACGGGGAAAAUCAGUCGAGUCCUUCCACUGCAAGUCGGUGAGACGAGAUGCAUCACUGGAGGAGCCGGAAUAGACGUCCGCGUGCCUUAUAAAGUCGGGAAGGAGGGGAGCCACACAUCACCCAGAACAGCACCGUCGACAUGAGGAAGACAACGAGAGGAGAGUGCCAGACCAGUAGCAGAUCUAGAAUAGCCAAUCGAUUGCGCUGCUACAACCAUAGUGAACCUAAAACUAGUUAGAGAAUUCACGGACUGGUUUUGAGGUGAUUUAUACCAUUACUAUGCAUUUAGUGUACCGGGUAUACAUUGCAGUAGUAGUUGAGUGUGCAUGUAAAUCAAAGAACCGCACAUAAGGUUAACCUCAGCGACGACGGACCGAAUCAAACCGGAGAUGGAUGUAGUUAAGGAGAGAACGGCCAUAGAAAUGUUCAGUACAAUUAUUCUGUAUCCAACCUGUGACCGAAGUUAGCGGGGUCAGCAUUAUGUAGUAACGUCAAAACACUUUAACAGUGUCCCGUGCCAAGUGUACGGAAAACCUUG
Branchiostoma floridae (Florida lancelet) is the source of this 845-nucleotide long non-coding RNA. RefSeq lists it as uncharacterized. The transcript is spliced from 3 exons. NCBI's taxonomy places the organism in Eukaryota, Metazoa, Chordata, Leptocardii, Amphioxiformes, Branchiostomatidae. The record is from RefSeq and is a predicted model, not a curated record.